GACGUAGGGGGCGAGCGUUGUCCGGAAUUACUGGGCGUCAAGCGCGUGUAGGCGGGCCGGCAGGCGGCGUGUGAAAGACGGGGGCUCAACCCCCGGCCACCGCGCCGAACCGCUGGUCUUGGGACGGCGAGGGGCAACUGGAAUGGUCGGAGGAGCGGUGAAAUGCGUAGAGCCCGAUCAGAACACCGGUGGCGAAGGCGGGUUGCUGGAGCCGGGCCGACGCUGAGACGCGAAAGCGCGGGGAGCGAACGGG
This 253-nucleotide ribosomal RNA is filed under the name uncultured bacterium. RNAcentral's name for it is "partial 16S ribosomal RNA". It matches the Rfam family "Bacterial small subunit ribosomal RNA", at positions 524 to 776 of the family's 1533-position model. The record is from RNAcentral.